This 506-nucleotide ribosomal RNA is filed under the name uncultured Bifidobacterium sp. RNAcentral describes it as "bacterial SSU rRNA". It matches the Rfam family "Bacterial small subunit ribosomal RNA", at positions 157 to 678 of the family's 1533-position model. The record is from RNAcentral. Lineage: Bacteria; Bacillati; Actinomycetota; Actinomycetes; Bifidobacteriales; Bifidobacteriaceae.
UGGGUGGUAAUGCCGGAUGCUCCAGAUGACCGCAUGGGAUUCUGGGAAAGCUUUUGCGGCAUGGGAUGGGGUCGCGUCCUAUCAGCUUGUUGGUGGGGUGAUGGCCCACCAAGGCUUCGACGGGUAGCCGGCCUGAGAGGGCGACCGGCCACAUUGGGACUGAGAUACGGCCCAGACUCCUACGGGAGGCAGCAGUGGGGAAUAUUGCGCAAUGGGCGAAAGCCUGACGCAGCGACGCCGCGUGCGGGAUGGAGGCCUUCGGGUUGUAAACCGCUUUUAUCGGGGAGCAAGCGAGAGUGAGUGUACCCGUUGAAUAAGCACCGGCUAACUACGUGCCAGCAGCCGCGGUAAUACGUAGGGUGCAAGCGUUAUCCGGAUUUAUUGGGCGUAAAGGGCUCGUAGGCGGUUCGUCGCGUCUGGUGUGAAAGUCCAUCGCUUAACGGUGGAUCUGCGCCGGGUACGGGCGGGCUGGAGUGCGGCAGGGGAGACUGGAAUUCCCGGUGUAA